ACGGAGGGUGCAAGCGUUAUCCGGAUUCACUGGGUUUAAAGGGUGCGUAGGUGGGCAGGUAAGUCAGUGGUGAAAUCCUGUAGCUUAACUACAGAACUGCCAUUGAUACUAUCUGUCUUGAAUACCCUGGAGGUGAGCGGAAUAUGUCAUGUAGCGGUGAAAUGCUUAGAUAUGACAUAGAACACCCAUUGCGAAGGCAGCUCACUACGGGAAUAUUGACGCUGAGGCACGAAAGCGUGGGGAUCAAACAGGA
This 253-nucleotide ribosomal RNA is filed under the name uncultured prokaryote. RNAcentral describes it as "partial 16S ribosomal RNA". It matches the Rfam family "Bacterial small subunit ribosomal RNA", at positions 525 to 777 of the family's 1533-position model. The record is from RNAcentral.